AUGUGGGUGAAGCAUGACCAGGCGAUCCUCUCUGCCAUCCAGGGUUCCCUCGGCGACGGGGUCGCUGGCCUUUGUCUCUUCGCCGCCACCUCCAUGGACGCCUGGACGACUCUGGAGCACGCCUUUGCCCAGGUCUCUACCUCCCGCUCGAUGGCCUUCCGCAACGAACUCGUCGACAUCAAGAAGCUGGACUCCUCUGCUACGACCUACUUCAACAAGAUGAAGGUGCUGGCAGACACGCUCACCUCUAUUGGUCGGCCGCUUAGCGACGAGGAGUUCGCCGGCUUCGUCAUCAAAGGCCUCGACGCCGACUACGACAAUCUCGCCGAGGCCGUCCACAACGCCAAGCCAGCGAUGCCUCCUCACGAGCUCUACUCACGCCUCCUAUUCACCGAGCAACGCGUCGAGGCUCGUCGCUCCUCCGCCACCAUCACCGCCCAGCGGGCGGCCUUCUGGGCCUCUUGUGGCCAGCGCCCACCUGCCCCGUCACCUGGCAAGGCAGCCCCGCCCCCUGCAUCGACCCUGGGUGGGGGCCCUAACACUAGUGUGGUGUGCCAGCUAUGUGGUCGUGAACGCCAUGUCGCCUCCAAGUGUCACCGCCGCUUUCAGAGGAGCUUCCUUGGCAUCGGCAACAACGGCAAGGGCAACGAGCGCCAGUUUGCCAUGGCAGACUUUGGUCCUCCCGCUGCCGCCCCGGCUGCCCACAUCGCUGUCGCCCCGUCUGCCCACAUCACUGCCAAGGGCAAGGACCCGCGCGUCGAGCAGGGAUACACACCAUCCUACCAUGUUGAUCCAGCCUGGUACAUGAACACCGGCGCCACAGAUCACAUGACGAACGAGCUCAACAAACUCUCCACCUACCAGCCCUACUACGGGCACGAUCAGGUUCACACCGCCAAUGGUGUAGGUAUGCCCAUCUCUCAUAUUGGCCAAGCAUCUCUUUUAACUAGUCAUCCCUCUAGGCAACUCCAUCUUCGUAAUGUUUUACGGGUACCCUCCGUAACUCGUAAUCUUUUAUCUGUCCCUAAGCUCACCCUUGAUAAUCAUGUCCUAUGUGAAUUUCACCCUUUUAAUCUUUUUGUUAAGGAUCGAGCAACCCGGGACGUUCUGCUUAGUGGCCGGUUGAGCCAAGGCUUGUACCGUUUGGAGGAUCCAUCCGCCCCGUGCGUCUUCAGCGGUGUUCGUGUGUCGCCUUCCCAAUGGCACUCUCGCUUUGGUCACCCCGCCACACCCAUCGUUCGCCACAUAAUCCACCGUCAUGAGCUGCCAUUAGUGUCUAGCAAUAAAGAGAUGUCCGUGUGUGAUGCCUGUCAGCAAGGCAAGAGUCAUCAGCUACCUUUUGUUUCAUCUACUAGAGAAGUAAAGAACCCUCUUGAAAUUGUGUUUUCUGAUGUGUGGGGUCCGGCACAAACAUCUGUUAGUGGUCACAACUAUUAUGUCAGUUUUGUUGAUGCCUAUAGUCGCUUCACUUGGCUUUAUCUUCUUAAGCGCAAGUCUGAUGUGUUUGAUAUAUUCAUACAGUUUCAAUUGCAUGUUGAACGUCUACUCAAGCAAAUUAUCCAUGUUCAAUCAGAUUGGGGGGGGGGGGGACGAAUAUCGCAACCUCAACACCUUCUUUAA
RNAcentral lists this ribosomal RNA (1620 nucleotides) under Triticum aestivum (bread wheat). Its description in RNAcentral is "partial small subunit ribosomal RNA". The record is from RNAcentral. Lineage: Eukaryota; Viridiplantae; Streptophyta; Magnoliopsida; Poales; Poaceae.